CUACAACUGAGGAAAAUUCAGAAAUAGUAAAAUACAUCCAUAAUAUUCCAUAUGCUAUAUUUAUAAAUUCCAAUUGGCCAUUUUAACAUAGGGCCAUUUUAAUAUAGGCGGGUAUUAAAUAGGCCAAGUGACCAAUACCAAAAGCAUAAUAAUUAAUAAAACACAAUACAUUACACCAUUAAAACUUUACUAUCGUAACUAUAUAUUUUUAAACAUUUUAUAUUUACAGUGUGCUUAAAAUUUUACAAUUAUACUUGAGCACAAUGUUUUAAUAAUAGACAACUUUAUAACAAGAAAAUGUUAAAAUGAAGAAACUUUUUAAUGGCUUCAUAAUUGACGUUUCUUCGAUAUUGUUGCUUACUUCUACUUUAUAAUUGUCCAUUCUGUUAUUUUCUUUCUUUCUAUUUGCAAAUUAUCUCCAUUAAUCCAUAGAAAACAAGCAGUUUACGUUUGUAUUUCUUCGUAUUUCCCAGGGUGCAUUCCAUGUAGAGUGCACGCCGAAGUUCCGCCGCUGGAAAAUUCGCACACGCCGCCAGACUGCCAGAUUUAUUUAAUCUAUAUUUUGGCAAAAUUUUACGGCGACCUCCCCCCCUCGCCAAAAAAAUUUCGGUCAGUGUGCCAUUUUAGGGGUCAAAAAUGUUUUCCCGACAUGUCAUCGUUAAACUCGUUAAAAAUAAAACAGCGUAAAUUUAAUUGAAUUUCAAGCGAAUCCUUCGUAGUGUUGUGGUUUAGGCGUGUGCUCGUAUUGCGUGCGCCAAGUUCUGGGAUCGAUUCCUGCUCGCGCUACUAUUUUAUUAUUUUUUUUUAUACUUUUUUUUCUUCGUGAUUUUCGCUUACGCACCGCGUACGAAACGUAUAGCGUAUCGAAUAUGUUGUUGCUUCGUUCUUAAGAAACAACGCAACCCUUUUAGUGGUUUAGUGUUAGCUUUUAAAGCGUUGUCGGAUGAAUAGCCGUGAAGCAGGAAGAUCCGGUGUCGGACGAAUAUCCACGGGGAACAAUUUUUCCCGGCAUUACCAAAUUUUCUCCAUUUAUCCAACUUUUUUUUCUUAAAUCCGAAAGUUUGGUACCAUUCUCUAAAAUUUUUGUCAAUUUAGCUCAUUCUUCUCCAAAUUCACACUUAUUUUUGUUAAUUAACUUUCUCUGGGCAUAGAAAUUACUGGAAUUUGUGUUCAUUUACCCGAAUUUCUUCUGCAAAUCUACCUGGAUUUACCUGAAAUUGCCCACAUGAGCAAUUAUUGGGGGGGGGGGGUGUUACACCCCCACACCCCCCGGUCGGCACGGCCCUGCGCGCGAGUGGUUUUAGACACAAUAAAACACGAGUCGCGAGUUUAUUGAACGGUUUCAAAAACAAUUAAUAGUAUUCUUUAUAUAAGGAAUACUAAGUAGGAAGUGUUUUAUCAAAUAUGAAACCACUGCAUGUAACAUAUUAUACUUGAUUUGGUUGGCAAAAAAGAUCAUGAAACUGUUAAGUUAUCCGAUAAACAAUAGAGACUUAACGACGAUAUUUUCUGAUUGUAUUAUAUUAAGUUUGUACGCCGUUUAGGGGAAAACUGAUACUACGCCGGCACGCCAACAUUAGCAUUUACACGCCGCUGCGCCGUAGGGCAUCGCAACUCCACGCCGAAGAUCUUCGCGUUUGGCUACAUGGAAUGCACCCUGGCGUAUUUCGAACGCGCACUCCUUGAAGGCAGCCAUAUUGCCGAAUAUAAACAUCCACUUGACGAAUAAACUUUUCAUAUUUCACUCUAUUUCCAACGACCAAUCAAAUCACUUCUGCUUCGGCUUGUCCCAG
This is a non-coding RNA of Paramuricea clavata, 1793 nucleotides long. Lineage: Eukaryota; Metazoa; Cnidaria; Anthozoa; Malacalcyonacea; Plexauridae. The record is from the annotation of a GenBank genome assembly.